CUCUCUCUCUCUUUCUCUCUCAGGAUGCUGCCCCAUAGCACAGAAGCGUUUAAACUGCGCUGCUUCUCUUCUGUAAUGCAGUUGAGGAGUUUGGCACCCAUUUCCAUCAGGGCUGAGUUUGGUCCGUUACCUUGAAAUCCUGCCCAAGAGCGAGUAUGUGAGAGGGCUGGAGGGAUGGGGGAGUGUGGAGGGGAAGUGGGGCAUAAGCAGUGGAUAUUCUCUGCCUUAUUUUGAUGGUUCUUUUGCUUGUCAGUCCGCUGUUCCUAAUCCCAGACAAGAGUUCCCUCCCCACAUCUAGAUGAUCUGUGGAUGACUGCACCUACGUCGUUGAGAUGAGUCGAGUGCGCUAAUGUGAAACGCGUAGCCUUGUGGUCAGGGGUUGUGCCAGGAUUGUAAAGCACCUGGAUGGGAUUGAAACACAAGCUGUUCUUUAACGUUUAUAAAUUGGACACAAGUUCCUACCUAAAAGCUGUUUAUUAGAAUCUAGUAGGAUUCAACGGGACAUUUAUCUGCCCCUGGCAGUUUGACAUCCAGAGGUGCUUACAGCAACUGGCUGGGAUGAUAUUUCAUUAACUGAAGCGAUAAAUUUUAAAUGUGAGUUUCAUGGGCACCAGUGUCCCCCGAGGAAAAUUACCGUUUCCUAGCUAAUUUGACAGGAGAGAGAUUAUAAUCCAGACAUUCCCAGAGUUUCACAAACAAAAUCCCUCCUCUAAAGGACCAGAUUGGAACGGAAAGUAUGGGUAAAGGAUGAGCUUCAAGGCCUUUCACAAGCUGCAGAAAGAAGAAACGCGCUGCAGUUCAGCUCCGGCUUUGUGCUAGAGGUUCUGCCUUGCGUAUGUGCGCAAACAUGUUCCUAAGGUGUUUGGUGUGAGAUAAAAGUAGAUCCCAAAGUGAGAUUUCACAGCACAAAUUAUCAAAGUGAAGAUUCACUCUUGAUGUAGUCUACGUGUGUGGCAGUAAUUAUGAAAAAUAAUUCGGGAUAAUAGGGCCUUCAGGAAUCCCAAGGCGGGCACUGGGAGGUUAACCCUUCCUCAUCUAACCUGGUCUCCAUGCCACUGUCAUCAUCAGGUGAGCAGAUGAUGGGUUGAGUCAGGCAACUUAACAAACCAAGUGAUAAACGUUACGGUCUUCAAGAAAAUCGGGGAGGUGACCGAGGAAAUGAAGUUUUGUUCCCAAGUAGCUUUGGAUGUGACUGUUUGGUCCUAGAUCAUACAGACCUUCAGGAAGGUGUUACUGGUACGGGCUGCUUACCAGCUUUGAGGAACGGGUCACCUCUCAGAUAGCAAGUAAGUCUCCUCACUUUGCUGCUCUGUCACACCCAGGCAGCUGAGCAUUACAGCCCGUGCCCAUCACGAUGCCAUUAGCACCGAGGUGGUUCUUUGUAGGCAACAUUUCUCUGAAAAGGUUGAACUUCCCGGCUCUGUAGAUGCUGGCACUUCCUGGACAGGCUUGUCCUGAACGCUUCCUUGGCAGACGUACAGCUGGUGUUGAUGUGAGAAGGUUCUUGCAGUGGCACAUCACGUGCUGCAUCUGCACGUGGUAAAGCAGAGGCUUGCCGUGAUGCCCAGCGAGGUCCCCAGCCAGCAGCUCCUAAAAGGCUUUUUCUGCGACCAGGGCAGCAGGUCGGCAUGAGUGCCGAGCCCAGCGGCAGUGUGUGCGCACACCUGGCCCGUAGUUCUUCCUGUGGGUCCUGCACCCCAGCACACCGUGACAGGGGCACCUGAAGCUCUGCCCCCUUGCCCUGGCUCCUGUGAGAGGUGGGCACCACCUGCAGCAGCUCUGCAGCGAGGUCCUUCCCAGGAUGUUUGCAGCCAAGCCUGUUUGCAAGACACAGAGGUGGGAAAAGCAUUUGUUGGGCUUACAGAUACCCAGAGCCGUACCUCUCCUCCCUCAGCCGUUCGCGUUUGCUUUUGUAGGUGACCGUUGCGGUCUUUCAGAAAGCAGCAGCUCAUCUGAUCCCUUCUGCAGUCAAAUCAAAGUGGAUGGCUCCCAUCUUCCUGGCAGUCUUGGAGCAGAGCCAUGCAAGAGGGAGGUGAGCAGCUAGCUGUUCAGGGGACAGUGGGCUUCCUGCUCUGGCAGUGUCAAAGGGACAUAAAACCUUUGCACCAGGCUUUGGUUUUGCUUUUGGGAUGCUUUUUGGUCUUGUGGGCAGGAAGGGGAGAGGAACGCCAGGCUAAGCGGUCAUAUGGCCUCAGGUCCGCAGCUCUGGCUCCCCCAUCGUCUAUCAAGUUGACGCUGUGUCUGCAGCCCUAGCAAUAGGACUCUGCUGAACCUCUUGGAGCUGGGGAUCAUGAGGACUCACCAGUCUUUUACUGCCUCUGGUCUCCAAGGUUUAUCGUGCAGAGCCAUGUUGUUCCUGCUGGCUUCCUGGCUGGCUUCUGCACACACUUUCCUGCCUCUGGCUGCCUCGAAAGACUGGUUUUCACAAUACCCUGCCCUUCCUUUGGACUUUGCUGGUGGGACCUUCUCGUCCCAGGAGACCAGAAUUUUCCUUAUAAAACCCUGCAGGUCUGGGGAACAUCAGUGUUUUCAGGAGGUGCCUUGCUGCCUCCACGCUGGUCCAAAUCUGCAGCGAGGGUGAGUGGCUGCUCUGGUCCCUGCCCCAGUGUCAGGCUAGGGGCAGGGUUGGAUCAAGCCCCAGGUGGGGCUCACAGAGGAAUCGCCUGCACCGGCAGCAACGCUGUGAUGACCGCACGUUGCACAGCGCGUGGUGUAACCCGCUCCCCAGGUAUGGCUGGUCCCGCGACACCGCAGUGGCCAUCAGUGCCGCCCUCCUGUCACAGGCAGCCACUCCUGUGACCUUUGGUCACCUAUUUUAAAGGACUGAAGAUUGCAGCGGGCAAUUGGGGCUGGGUCCCUUGGCAUUACAGGCUGCCCGUCAUGCCCCAUCCCAGCCCCCCCCCCCCCCCCGUGCAAUGCAGGGAGCGCAGGCAACCUGCAGGGUUAAUUUGGGGACGUGGAGGUUCCCUCGCCGGGGUCCAGCGCCCAGCAAACCCCCCGAGCACCUCUGCAGCAGCCUGCCCGCGGAGGCUCGCUCGCUCUCAGCUGGGCGGCUCAUUUCUGGAUCCUGUCGGUUUUCACUCCAUCUCCCGGGAGCCAAGGUCCACAGCCGCGCCUGUGCCUCCCAGACGGGCCGGCAGACGAGAACUUCCUUCCAGGCCCUAUAGACAGACAUUUUAUAUAUGUUAAAAUACGUGUGUAUAUAAAUAUGGAAAGCAAGAGCUUGGGAGACCUUGAGUCUAAAUAAACUUGUAUAUUUAAGGCUUUUAAAAUGCUAAUGUUGAAUUUCAGGGGAGGGGGCACACAAGGGGAUUGUUGGACUGAGCACCAAGACAGCUGAUGAGCUUGGAUCGGUGCCUUUACAAUUCAAGGAAAAAUGGGAUAGUUUGGGAAGGAAAAAGGGAUUUUCUUGUUUUUGUUUUUAGUAGAAAAUAAAAGAAGCUGCCUUCUUAUUUGCCUCCCUCCCCCAGCGCCAGAGCAGCGAGCGAGCGACUGGUGUUGUAUGCAUAAGCUAUUCCUUUGUGCAACAUCUAAAUGGUUAAUUGUGUUUGAGGAAGAUGUACGGGCGAAUGGAGGGACCACCCAGCAAGAGACAGACAAGAAAGAGCGAUCUCUGAAAUGUUUAACCAGAGAGAGAGCAAAGUUGUUUAAAAAUAUUUAAUUUACAACAUUCCACACUGCUGAUUAUAAAUUGGCCGUCCAAAAACACUGCUGCGUGCGGGGAGGGAUCCAGGCAGCAUGAAACAAA
Long non-coding RNA from Harpia harpyja (harpy eagle), 3748 nucleotides. RefSeq lists it as uncharacterized. NCBI's taxonomy places the organism in Eukaryota, Metazoa, Chordata, Aves, Accipitriformes, Accipitridae. The transcript has 2 exons. The record is from RefSeq and is a predicted model, not a curated record.